GAAUGAAAAGCACCAAAGUUUCAAGUGCAACUCAACCAACUCCGACCCUCAAAUCAUUAAUCAUCUGUGUCGACGUUCCCGCGAGAAAAUCUAUGGAAAGUACAAGAAUAAACUCAUCAUCUUCAUCUCGCACGUCAUAGCACAGAAGCUCCGCAAACAACCAGCUUGGGCAGAAGUAAAAUACCUUAUCAUGAUGUACUGACUGGAUACUGAGCCAAAACUGUGAAACAUUCAUGAAACCGAAGGUUGCUCUGAAAUGAUGCAAAGACAGUCCCAGAGAUUUGGCUUAGUUUCUCAACGAGGGUGUUUUCGCACCAAGAUGAAGGAUCUAAUGAAAGUCACCGAGCUUCUGAUGGUUGAGCCAAUUGUUGAAGGUCAUCAACAACCCUCAUAGACUUCCAUUCAGAUUCUUCUUUGGGUUGUCUCAAGGCAACAAAAUGAAGGGCUCCACUCUGCACUUGGUAAAUAUGGCAUGACCACGGAUAUGAAUCAUGUGCUGACCAAAUCUUUUGGUCUUCUAAAACUGUUUCCUCAGCAAGGGAUUCUGCAAUACAAUAUACAGCUUUAGGGUCUGGCUCCUCAAACCUAGGCACAGCAAAAUACACCAAAAAAAGUAUCGAUUAUAGAAUUUAGCCUAUUUUUACAAUAACAACGUUCUCAAAUAUAUGUAUUAUAUUCUUUUUGUUUUUAUUUUCCCACAAGAAAGAGUAAUAACCUCCCUAUACACAUAAAUUAGUUGAAAGGAAAAAUAUAUACAUGAUUGGAUUGAUAAUUUAAACUAGAUAAUUAUAUUUCUCAUUAACUCUUUGAAAUCAAUACCUAUAGAUUAACCAUCAUGUCCAAAGAACACCCCCCCCCCCCCAAAACCCCCAAAACAAAAAAUCCACAACCCAAAAAAAAAAAAAAAACACGCACACACACACACGAAUUAGUUGCACGGAGUGGUGCAUGCAUGGUUACGUGGACAAGUUUAGCUGAGUAAUUAUAUGUCCCGUUAAUUCUUUAGGAUCAACACCUGGGGAUUAACGAACAAAUAUAUAUAUAUCUAUAUAUAUAUAUAUACAUACACACACAUAUAUACACACACACACACUCCCUUUGAAGUUAGUACACCAGAGCCUUGAGCCCUUCAGUACGGCAAAGACAAGACAAAAAAUUCUUGCAUGUACACUUGCAGAAGAACUCGAAUGAAAAGCACCAAAGUUUCAAGUGCAACUCAACCAACUCCGACCCUCAAAUCAUUAAUCAUCUGUGUCCAGGUUCCUGCGAGAAAAUCUAUGGAACAUACAAGAAUAAACUCAUCAUCUUCAUCUCGCACGUCAUAGCACUGAAGCUCACCAGCUUGGGCUGAAGUAGAAUACCUUGUCAUGAUGUACUGACUGGAUACUGAGCUAAAACUGUGAAACAUUCAUGAAACCGAAGGUUGCUCCGAAAUGAUGCAAAGACAGCCCCAGAGAUUUGGCUUAGUUUCUCAACGAGGGUGUUUUCGCACCAAGAUGAAGGAUCUAAUGAAAGUCACCGAGCUUCUGAUGGUUGAGCCAAUUGUCAAAGGUCAUCAACAACCCUCAUAGACUUCCAGUCAGAUUCUUCUUUGGGUUGUCUCAAGGCAACAAAAUGAAGGGCUCCACUCUGCACUUGGUAAAUAUGGCAUGACCACGGAUAUGAAUCAGGUGCUGACCAAAUCUUUUGGUCUUCUAAAACUGUUUCCUCAGCAAGGGAUUCUGCAAUACAAUAUACAGCUUUAGGGUCUGGCUCCUCAAACCUAGGCACAGCAACACAUCCAGGAGAGACAUAGCCUGCAGGAGCACGAGGAUGCCAAAUCGAGACAGGAGUUAUGUAGUCCUCCAGGCAAUUCCUCCAUACCUGCACCAUAAUAUCCAAAAAUUACUUAUCAAUUUCGCACAAGCAAUAAAAAAGGAUACAUAGUUUGAAACCUUAACACAAGCAUGAACAGGAUUGCCAACUGAGAAUGCUUGAGAAAAAUCAAUGUUCUGCUCAUUGCUUAACCUGUGAACACUUGCAUGCCAUGACUUGUACACAUAGCUUGAUGUGUCAAAUAGGAAGUCAAGGGCAUUAAAUUAUUUUCUUCCAAGUACAAGGUUUGCCAAUAACUAGAUUAAUAAAUGUAAAUCUGAGCUCCUUAAAAUGUUCCCACUACUUGAUUGCUCUUAAGAUGAGAAAUCUAUACCCAGAAAGAAAUGAAAACAUCCAAUUCGUGUUGCUGAAUGUCUGAAACGGAUAAGAAUAUACUAGAAAACUUCCACGUUCAACUAGGGCUACAUCAGCGUUUCAUUGAGCUCAGUAUGAGAAGCAGCGUGAUCUGGUCUGGUCAGCUAUGUCUCCACUGAACAAGCCAGAAUUGGAAUUCACACUGAUGAAUACUAUGAAUUUUUUUAUUGCCUCUUUUGUGUUUGUGUUAGGGGAGGAGGUUCUAAUCUGAAGGAGAAAGUACUAGCAUUUACUUUAUCCAGAGAAGGCUAUUUCAGAGUAUACAUUUUAAUAAGCAAAUGAACAUCAGAAAAACCGUGGAAACAGGAAACCAAAUAGAGGUUAAGGCAACUGUUUUACACAAGAUGACUAAUCCUUGGAUGAGUCAUGCCAGGACAACAAUUCUGCGAUGACUCAUCAGUGUUUGAUUGAGCUAGGUAUGAGAAGUUGAGUGAUCUGGUCAGCUCUGUCUCCACUGAACGAGCCAGAAUUGGAAUUCGCACUGAUGACAACAGCCUUUUGACUCUCUUUUGUGUUUGGUGUUAGGGGGAGGAGGUUCUAAUUUGAAGGGGAAAACACUAGCACUUCAACUGAGGAAGAUUACAUUUCAGAGUAUGCCUUUUAAUAAGCAAACAAGUAAACGGACAUCAGACAUACUGUGGAAACCCGAAUCUAAACACAGAGCAAGGCAACUGUUUUACCCAAGAUGAGGAAUCUUUGGAUGAGUCAUCCCAGGACAACAACUCUAAGAUGACUCAUCCUUCUGUAUCCAAUCCACAAACCAUAUGACCCUUCACUUUUUUUUUCUUUUAAUACCCUUGCAAUGUGAUAAAUAAAUCUGGAUUGUUGGAAAAAUAUAAGAUUGAGAUUUAAUGAAAAGAGAAGUAAAAGAAAAUUGAGCUCAUUAACAGCUAACAGAAAUAAAAAUAUGCAACUAGCAAUUCAUUGCUGCUUGCAACAUUGACCUAUUUACUUCAAAAAGUACAUUCAAAAGAAUAGGGCAUGCCAUUUCUCAGAAUUCAGUUAGUUUUCUACUAGCCCACAGAUUUGGGCCAAGUUUGUUCAAGUCUUCUGAAGGUUCUUACCAGGUCAAAUCCUACUGGAAGAGUGAAGUGUUUGUCAGAAUAGUGAUAUACAGCUGAAACAUUAGGAGGAUGGCUGCCAGCACGAGCUAUAUCCCCAACUGAGAUAUACCUGAGGCAAGUGGAAUUUCAUUUGAGAUUAACAGAAGCAUUAAGACAAAAGUAACAUUACCAGUAAAGGCAACUUGCAAAAUUUUUAACCUCCCCAAGAAUGUGAUCCAGAUAAAGUAAAAGACUAUUCCAAACAUGGUCAAUUUAUGCACACAACAUGCAGCAGUCCUAGUUAGUUUCCAGAAUUCAUAGGAUUAUACUACUGUUUGGCUUGAAAAUAUAAUUUCUUAUUUUGCUCUUUGAGAUUAGGACAAUAUUAUAAAAUAUAAUCAAUAACGAACUACAAACGAGAACAGCCAUAGUUGUUGGAUAUGAAUACGGAGAAACAAAUAAUCUGUAGCCGCUAAAUUUCCAAAUGAAACUCAAUAUGCUUUUACAACCUAGAACUUCACAAGAUGCGCAUACUGCAUUAGACAGUCAAAGAAUAUCCACAGCACAAAUCCACCUAUUCUUUCUACCUGCCUUCCCUGCAUUUUGCCUCACUUUACUGCAUUCUCAACAAGAAUCCUAAUUAUGUGAAGUGACGUUGCAAAAUGAUGGGAAGCAAAAAGUUGCAUUCCACAGAGCUUUUAGAAGGCUGAUCAUGACAGGUAUACUGUCUACUCAAUGGUGAAGUCCAACAGUCAAGCACAAAGAAGUGGAGCCUUGGGGAAGAGGAUGAUAGCACUCCUACAUCCACACUUCUAACUCAACUAAUCUAACCUCUCAGCCUGACCCUUCAGUUCCCAAAGGAAGAGAUAAAAUAUCAGGAAUGAUUCUGAAAACAUUGCAUUAUAGAGUAUGUUAACAUUCUCCUAGCUUGGCUUCACUUAAAGAGGACGUUAUGAGGAUAAGCAGAAAGAUGCUCCAUCUCAAAUUCAUUAUUCUUACAUUUCCCUCGAGUCACGCACCAGAUCCUAUGGAUGCAUUGAUUAGUAUAAAUCUUAUAAUUAGUCACGCACCAGUUUCAGCUGGUUUAUAAUUUACAUCCACAAGUUCCAAUGUAACAUUUAUGUAUUCUCUCAUCUAAGACGUCAUAACAAGUCAAAUUAGUUUCAUGUGCUACCAGAAGUCCUAGCCUUUUAAUAGAAAAAAUCUGAGAAAAAGUUCAAUGAUUACCCAUUGGGACAGACUGGUCGCCAAAUACUACAAAUUCCACCUUCUUCAGAUUCCUGAGAGAAAGGCAUUUCAUUUAGAUAAGUUUGAUAGUCACAACCUGUAGACAUCAUUAUCUUAAGAUUGACAAGUUUACCUUCUUUUGGCACAAGGUACAUCGACCUUUUGAUUCUUGUUCACUGCUCCACACCUUCAAAAAGUUCAUACAGUGUGUGACAAGUUUACCAUCAUCCGAAGCAGAACCAGCUAAAGAGAGCUCUGUUGAUUUGAUCACUGAUUUCAAGUGCAUAUGAGGAUCACUUCCACCAGCUUCAUUACGGAUAGAACAUACAUGUCUCUGGAUAGACGGGACCUGCAAAUGGCACAGGCAUAUCGUAUGAAAUAUGGUAUUACUGUUUCCUAGUUAAAAUUGAUUGACUGCAAGAUUUAUGACCUUUGACAUUUGGUUGCUCGGCUCUGAGUCAGUUCGCUUCCAAAACUUGCGCACCAUGGAACAUAUACUUACAGCCUGAGGCUCUCUUUCGUUUGAUUCUUCGGUAUUGCACUUUAUAACUCUGACAAAGUUCUCUGACCUCUUAAAAUUCUUGAGAUGGAUAAUUAAAUGAGAUGGUAUGGGGAAACCAGCUUUUGCCAACUCCAAUGCCAAUAUGUCUUCCCAUGGCACAUCCCACAUGAUCUUGCAAGGUUUUUUGUCCAUCUUAUCAGGUGAGGCACACUUCAGAUGUAGAAAAAGCAGAGAGUAUCAAAUACAAGAUGGCAACAAGAAAUGUAGUAAUUGACAAAGGGGGGAAAAAAGGAAGUAUGAGAGAAAAAUGAAUGAAUGAGGCAUUUAUCAACCUGUAGCAGCAUAACACGUUUGUUAGUUACUAGAACAAUCCGUUGGUAGGGCACCACAAAAUGAGCCUCAUACUGAUCCGACCAAGCAAAUUUUGAUGGCUCUUUAAAUAUUUCAGUACAUCCAAAAUGUCGACUUGCCUCCGCAAGGAAAAGUACCAUCUACAAUGAAGAUUCAAUGAAUCAAUAAUAAAAUUCCAUUUUUGAUCUACAAACUGAUACAUGUGAGAAUCACCACACGUCCAAACUUAUUUUUUUAGCUCCAGAAGAAUAUGUGGCAUCAGUUAUGGAGAUAAUCAUUAGCUUGGAAGAGGCUUAAGUAAUUGUUUAUAUACUUGAAUGCACUGCUACCACAAAACACAGUGCAGUUAAUUUCGAUUCUUCAUCAGGAAAAUGAUGAGGUAAACAUAUCUCCAUGCUUCAGAAGUUGGCCAACAGUCCCAAAGUUAUUAUUUCCCUUCUGCAAGGCCUUUGGUACUGACAGAAGGCCAACGCCUCUACAUGUUGUGAUUUUUGUGAACAUAUUUAGAUCCAAAAAACUACUCAAUGAGAUGUAAGGGAGAUGAACUUGAAACAAUAACCAGAUAAACAAAUUGACAUCUAAAAUCACAACAGUUAUAGCUACCUGACCAACAGCUUCUCUCCUGCAGUACUCUCUAAGUACAUUGUCAGAAUGAAUAGCCCGGGGGUUCCUUAUUCUCUGGAAAGAGGUCUUGUUUUGGAGAAUAUCCAAGCACCUGGAACAGCUUGCACCUAUUCCAUCAACAGUCAACGAGACAAAGUCUAAUGCUCCACUGACUGGCUGUACAAUGAAUCCUAAGAAAGCUUGACCCAGCCCAUGAGCAAGGCCAAGAAGACCAUUUUCUCUAGCACUUUCCACAGGCUUUCUUAAAACCCCUGAAACUCCAAAAGCAACUCCUUGUGCAAGAGCUUCUGUUCCCUGAAUGAUUCCAUCACCAACACCACCUAUCCUUCUUGACCAAACCUGAUUAAAUUUAAAUUGUUUCUUAGUUCAGAAUUGCACGCAGUCAAGCCACUAAUAACAAAAAACAAUUAAAUUGACUACCUGCUUUGAACGUAGUUGCAGAAACUGUCCAUCUGUAGAGAGCUCCGCAAAACCUUUGCUAAGAGAAGCUAAAGUUGAACUUGUCAUGCCGAGGACAUCCACCGAAAAAAUCAAAUGCAAUGGAUUAUGAAUCAAAUCUCUCCACAAACGAUUUGUAAUGGCAGAUACGACAGAACUUUUUCUCAUGAAUCUGCCUCUGCGUAUCAAUUUUCUCAGAUGGAUCUGAAAUAGAAGUAUGAAGUAAAAAAUGUUUAAAAUUGUCAGCCAUAUCCCUUUAUUCAGUUCUAAUAGCAAAUUUCAUCAAUCUGCCAAUCCAAGGGGAGUUCAACAAGUCAUUGGUAAAGGAAAGCAGUUUUAAGGUUUCAUAUAAUCGCUUCAUGAGUUUGUAAGGGGAAUUUUGCACAUUAUAUACAUCUAUGUCAAACGUUAUUAUGUUUGUCUAUACAAAUAGAAAAACAGGGCAAAGUGCAGCCACUAACAUUAACAAGUUUGUCAUUUUGGUCACUGAGUAAUAUUUAGUCUCAUUAUGGUCGCUAUAGAAUGUUUGAUCUUCUGAUGCAUUCUAAUUUAAGUUAUACACAUUCUGUGUGGCAAAUUUUUGUCAGAUCAUUCCUUAAUUGUUUUUACUUCUUAUUUAUUCUCUGUCCCUUCCUUGGGCAGUGGCUGCAUAGGAUUAGCAUUUCAGGGAGGAAGAGGGAAAAGAGACAAGUAAUGAACACACGAGGAAAAAAAAAAUUGAGACAAAAGAUAAAAAAGAUGGAAAUGAUAACAAGAUGAUACAAGAAUAAAAAAAAUGACGGUGAACAUAAUUGCCCACCAUAAAAUGCACAAGAAUGAACCAGGGACCUCAUCACUGUGACAAACAGAAUAACUUAGGAAAUUGGUAAGCAACCAAGAUUGUAAAGUUGGUUGGCCAGAAAGAGACAGAAGAUUAUUGACUAUGAAAACGGAAUAUUUUAGAAUACCCCAUAUAACUACAGAUGAACAUGCAUGAGAUGAUAUACAAUACACAUAUGCAUCAGAUAUGAUUCGGUGGUGAAACAGAUGAAGAGUAUGAAGAGUUUUAUGUUGCAGCAUUUCUUUCCCACCCAAAAAACAAAAAAAAAAAGAUCCAAAAAAUAUCAAAUUUACUAACUCAUCACCUAAUGGUUCUGGAAGCAAUUGAUAAAUACCAGCUUGAGGUUGACAUUAUGAAUGCUGUUCAACUCAUUAACAUCUCAAGGAACAUACAAGUAAUCUAUACAAACAUAUACACAUAUGAACAGAACUGUUCGAUAGCUGCAUCAGUGUAUAUUGUCCAGUGAAUGAGGUAUAGGAAAUCAACUGCAUUGAGUGUCAUACACUCUCUCACUUUAUGUAUACCAAUUCGUAAGUCCACCAAAAGUCACAUGAAAAGAAAGGAGAAGAAGAAGGGAAUCG
This 7815-nucleotide long non-coding RNA is filed under the name Coffea arabica (coffee). RNAcentral describes it as "long non-coding RNA (CARA_LNC005516)". The record is from RNAcentral. Lineage: Eukaryota; Viridiplantae; Streptophyta; Magnoliopsida; Gentianales; Rubiaceae.